Molecule: unclassified non-coding RNA, 374 nt
Filed under: uncultured Gammaproteobacteria bacterium
Lineage: Bacteria; Pseudomonadati; Pseudomonadota; Gammaproteobacteria
Description: contains 16S-23S intergenic spacer region
Source: RNAcentral
UCCGGUUUGUCACCGGCAGUCUCACUAGAGUGCCCGUUUCCGUAGCAACUAGUGACAAGGGUUGCGCUCGUUGCGGGACUUAACCCAACAUCUCACGACACGAACUGACGACAGCCAUGCAGCACCUGUGUUCCGAUUCCCUUUCGGGCACACCCACCUCUCAGCGGGCUUCCGGACAUGUCAAGGGUAGGUAAGGUUGUUCGCGUUGCAUCGAAUUAAUCCACAUCAUCCACCGCUUGUGCGGGUCCCCGUCAAUUCCUUUGAGUUUUAACCUUGUGGCCGUACUCCCCAGGCGGACAACUUCACGCGUUAGCUACGGUACUGAGAAAUCGCUUCCCCAACACCCAGCACCCAUCGUUUACGGCGUGGACUAC